AUACCUUUCUCGGCCUUUUGGCUAAGAUCAAGUGUAGUAUCUGUUCUUAUCAGUUUAAUAUCUGAUACGUGGGUCAUUGGCCCACAUGAUAUUAAAUUAAUUUUUUAAGGGAAGGGCCCAUUACGGUAGCUUGCUACUCGGGCUCUUACACGUCGCCUUGGCGCUGCACUGCUGCCUUGGCCUGGCGUACCCACC
This is a small nuclear RNA of Malania oleifera, 195 nucleotides long. RefSeq annotates it as U2 spliceosomal RNA. The transcript has a single exon. Lineage: Eukaryota; Viridiplantae; Streptophyta; Magnoliopsida; Santalales; Ximeniaceae. The record is from RefSeq and is a predicted model, not a curated record.